CCUACGGGAGGCAGCAGUGAGGAAUAUUGGUCAAUGGACGAGAGUCUGAACCAGCCAAGUAGCGUGAAGGAUGACUGCCCUAUGGGUUGUAAACUUCUUUUAUAUGGGAAUAAAAUGUUCCACGUGUGGGAUUUUGUAUGUACCAUAUGAAUAAGGAUCGGCUAACUCCGUGCCAGCAGCCGCGGUAAUACGGAGGAUCCGAGCGUUAUCCGGAUUUAUUGGGUUUAAAGGGAGCGUAGGUGGAUUGUUAAGUCAGUUGUGAAAGUUUGCGGCUCAACCGUAAAAUUGCAGUUGAAACUGGCAGUCUGGAGUACAGUAGAGGUGGGCGGAAUUCGUGGUGUAGCGGUGAAAUGCUUAGAUAUAACGAAGAACUCCGAUUGCGAAGGCAGCUCACUGGACUGCAACUGACACUGAGGCUCGAAAGUGUGGGUAUCAAACAGGAUUAGAUACCCCAGUAGUC
RNAcentral lists this ribosomal RNA (460 nucleotides) under uncultured bacterium. RNAcentral describes it as "partial 16S ribosomal RNA". It matches the Rfam family "Bacterial small subunit ribosomal RNA", at positions 338 to 795 of the family's 1533-position model. The record is from RNAcentral.